GUGGGGAAUAUUGGACAAUGGGGGGAACCCUGAUCCAGCCAUGCCGCGUGUGUGAAGAAGGCCUUUUGGUUGUAAAGCACUUUAAGCGAGGAGGAGGCUACCGAGAUUAAUACUCUUGUAUAGUGGACGUUACUCGCAGAAUAAGCACCGGCUAACUCUGUGCCAGCAGCCGCGGUAAUACAGAGGGUGCAAGCGUUAAUCGGAUUUACUGGGCGUAAAGCGCGCGUAGGUGGCCAAUUAAGUCAAAUGUGAAAUCCCCGAGCUUAACUUGGGAAUUGCAUUGGAGACUGGUUGGCUAGAGUAUGGGAGAGGAUGGUAGAAUUCCAGGUGUAGCGGUGAAAUGCGUAGAGAUCUGGAGGAAUACCGAUGGCGAAGGCAGCCAUCUGGCCUAAUACUGACACUGAGGUGCGAAAGCAUGGGGAGCAAACAGGAUUAGAUACCCCUGUAGUCC
This 451-nucleotide ribosomal RNA is filed under the name uncultured bacterium. RNAcentral's name for it is "bacterial SSU rRNA". It matches the Rfam family "Bacterial small subunit ribosomal RNA", at positions 354 to 796 of the family's 1533-position model. The record is from RNAcentral.